Molecule: RNA transcript, 3897 nt
Organism: Oncorhynchus mykiss (rainbow trout)
Lineage: Eukaryota; Metazoa; Chordata; Actinopteri; Salmoniformes; Salmonidae
Gene name: type II iodothyronine deiodinase-like
Source: RefSeq, a predicted model, not a curated record
AACAAGAUACGCCUGGAGCUCUAUCACCGAGGCGAAUAAUUUACGGUAUAAAAAGAUUUACAGCCGAGAGGGCUAACUCGUUGGAGCACACAAGCAAUUACAAAGCCAGCUAGAUACAACUUUUGGCACCAGCGGAGCGCAGCGCACAACCCUCGAAUACGCUCCUUGAGCUGAGCCCUCUCUUGCCUCUUUUUUAUCCCGGGUGACAAUUAAUUUGUGCGCUCCAAGUCAAAUCAGAGCGCACUCCGUUGAAAUGCGAGCAGUAGCAUAAAGACCUUGCACCUUCGAGAGAGGGGACAGAGACAUAUUUAGUGUUUGACAGUGUCAGACAGUGAGCGGGGAACAGCAGAGGAGCACCUGUCUUCACGGCAUGUCCUUGGAAAGCAGCUAAAACCGAGACGCAUCAUCGGUCUAGUCCGGGGACAGAAGCCUAAACAAAUGGGCGCUGCCAGCGUGGACCUGCUGGUCACCCUCCAGAUCCUGCCGGGUUUCUUCUCCAACUGCCUGUUCCUCGCGCUCUACGACUCGGUGGUGCUGGUGAAGCGUGUGGUGUCGUUGCUGAGCUGCCCUGGCGGCGGCGGGGGAGAGUGGCAGCGCAUGCUGACCUCGGCAGGGCUCCGUUCCAUAUGGAACAGCUUUCUGCUGGACGCAUACAAACAGGUGAAACUUGGCAGUGAGGCACCCAACUCCAAAGUGGUGAAGGUUCCUGGUAGCGGUGGUAACCAUGGCGUCCGGCGGAGGAGCAGUGUGACCGCCACCACGGCCCGUCAUCCUGGAGACGAGUGCCGCCUGCUGGACUUCGAGUCAUCAGAGCGCCCUCUUGUGGUGAACUUCGGUUCGGCCACCUGACCCCCAUUCAUCAGCCACCUGCCUGCCUUCCGGCUGCUGGUGGAGGAGUUCUCUAACGUGGCUGACUUCCUGCUGGUCUACAUCGACGAGGCGCACCCCUCAGACGGCUGGGUGGCGCCCACCAUGGGCCCAUGCUCCUUCGAGGUCAGGAAGCACCGGUCGCUGGAAGAGAGGGUGGUGGCUGCCAUGAAACUGACUGAGGCCUUCAGCCUGCCGCCUCAGUGCCAGCUGGUGGCUGACUGCAUGGACAACAAUGCUAACGUAGCCUACGGCGUGUCCUACGAGAGGGUGUGCAUCGUGCAGAGAAGGAAGAUUGCCUACCUGGGUGGGAAAGGACCCUUCUUCUACAACCUGAAGGAUGUGAGGCAGUAUCUGGAACAGAGAUAUGGCAAGAGAUAAGGGGCAGACAGACAGAGAGGACGAGUUCUGUGACAACUGAACGGCUGAUAAGAGAAAGACAGAAUAUUUAUUUUCGUAUAAAGGGAGAAUUAAAGGAAGGCGAGGUGCUUUCAGAACUGAUCUGUUCUGACCACGAAUGACAGGCAAUGCUCGGGAACAGAACAUGUGACAGGUUCUAAAAUUCCCAAGUUCCACAUCUCUGGAACUUCCUUUCUGGAAGGAGACCAACAUUCCAUAAAACCUUUUGACUGGAACACAAUAGAACAGAUAGACUUAAGAACAUGGACUGAUGCUCUGCUACCUAUGACAGUGAGUUGACUGAAAGAAGAAAUUGAAUAGGUUGACCCGUGACACGCUUUAUCAAUAACUCCAACCCCAGUUGCGAAUAAUCUAAACGUUUUCUAGUUACAGUACACAUUAUCUUCUAACCUGGCUCCUUUCAAAACCAAAACCAAAUUACUGCACAGAGAAGAAAGCACAAGUGCCCAACUAUAUAAAUGUAAAUGUAUAUAUAUAUACGCAAAUAUGUGUAUAUAUAUAUAUAUAUGCAUAUAUAUAUAUAUAAACAAUUAUAUUAAUUUAUUUCUAUGGAGUUUUAAAUGUUAUGUUUGUUUUUACACCACGAUAAUGUUUUGUAUGUUGAUGCACUUGCAAUGCUUUUUAUUUAAGAAAACAAUCGAUCAUAUAAGGGGUGUUAUACCACUGUUUAAACCACCUAGAGUAGACUGUUUAAACCACCUAGAGUAGACUGUUUUAAACCAUCUAGAGUAGACUGUUUAAACCACCUAGAGUAGACUGUUUAAACCACCUAGAGUAGACUGUUUAAACCACCUAGAGUAGACUGUUUAAACCACCUAGAGUAGACUGUUUUAACCACCUAGAGUAGACUGUUUUAACCACCUAGAGUAGACUGUUUUAACCCAUCUAGAGUAUACUGUUUUAACCCAUCUAGAGUAGACUGUUUAAACCAUCUAGAGCAGACUGUUUAAACCACCUAGAGUAGGCUGUUUUAAACCAUCUAGAGUAGACUGUUUUAAACCAUCUAGAGUAGACUGUUUUAAACCAUCUAGAGUAGACUGUUUUAAACCAUCUAGAGUAGACUGUUUUAAACCAUCUAGAGUAGACUGUUUUAAACCAUCUAGAGUAGACUGUUUUAAACCAUCUAGAGUAGACUGUUUUAAACCAUCUAGAGUAGACUGUUUUAAACCAUCUAGAGUAGACUGUUUUCAACCAUCUAGAGUAGACUGUUUUCAACCAUCUAGAGUAGACUGUUUUCAACCAUCCAGAGUAGACUGUUUUCAACCAUCCAGAGUAGACUGUUUUAAACCAUCUAGAGUAGGCUGUUUUAAACCAUCUAGAGUAGACUGUUUUAAACCAUCUAGAGUAGACUGUUUUAAACCAUCUAGAGUAGACUGUUUUAAACCAUCUAGAGUAGACUGUUUUAAACCAUCUAGAGUAGACUGUUUUAAACCAUCUAGAGUAGACUGUUUUCAACCAUCUAGAGUAGACUGUUUUCAACCAUCUAGAGUAGACUGUUUUCAACCAUCCAGAGUAGACUGUUUUCAACCAUCCAGAGUAGACUGUUUUAAACCAUCUAGAGUAGGCUGUUUUAAACCAUCUAGAGUAGACUGUUUUAAACCAUCUCGACUCAGACACUUCCAAGCACAUCGUUCAUGUUACACCACCACCUAGAAAAUAGACGUUAGCUCUGUGUCCAUCUCCUCCAUAUGGGCGUUUUAACCCAACAGACAAUGAGAGAUGGAGGAAAGUAAACCCAAGAGCAAAGCACCGAAUGAAGAAACAGAGGCAGUAUGUGUACUGUAGUCAGCACCAAGGCUACGUCGCUAGAUAGCUAGCUGUAAUCCCAGGGGCUGUUUGCUGUUGGUGAUGGUUCGUGUUAGCGAUGAGGCAGGGGUGUACAAAGAUGUAAUGGGUUGAGGGAGAUAGCCAUGUUUCCAUAAACCUAAGGUGAGUUUUCUGAAAGCUUUAUGGCUAACGUGGUACUUCAUUUCUCUCAACAAUCAAGACUCAAACCCCAUGUAGAACAUCAAACAUUGAUUUUGCAAUUGGUGCUAUCAUGGUUGAGUUGUCAAGAUAUACAAAGUGCCACGUUAGCUAUGAAGCUUCUGUGAAACUCUGAGUUCUGAGGUGUGUGGCAUGAAGUGAGAAAGGCUAAGGACAGCAGGUGAGACGGGCUAAGAACAGGUGGUGUCUAGAUGACUUAAGAAGGUGUUUCAAAAGGGGUGUGUGUCAGUUUUAUGGUGUGAAGUGACUGAAGAGGUUUUUAGUUGAUCACACAGACAGUUGUCCAUGGUAAAACAGACACACAGACAGUUGUCCAUGGUAAAACAGACACACAGACAGUCGGUUUGGGUCGAGACGGGGCUGGUGUGAGAAUGAAAACCACUGACUAAAGGGGGGUAACUGACUCAGUCUUUGGUUGGAUGACAGACCUCACUUCCUUGACGUAGACUCAAACCAACAUGUCUGAACAUCAUCAAACCAACUAACAUUCGCACACAAUCUCUCUCUCUAGGAGAGGUCCAUCAACUAAUAUUCGUUUUCUUUAUCCAUUUGUGUAGAGCUGUGUUUAAUAAACUCCAGAGGAGAGGAGUGAUGGAAAGAAAAAUAAAGAUGAAUUUACUACUC